CAGCCGCCGCGGUAAUACGAAGGGGGCUAGCGUUGUUCGGAUUUACUGGGCGUAAAGGGCGCGUAGGCGGACUGAUAAGUCAGGGGUGAAAUCCCAAGGCUCAACCUUGGAACUGCCUUUGAUACUGUUUGUCUUGAGUUCGAGAGAGGUAAGUGGAACUGCGAGUGUAGAGGUGAAAUUCGUAGAUAUUCGCAAGAACACCGGUGGCGAAAGCGGCUCUCUGGCUUGUAACUGACGCUGAGGCUCGAAAGCGUGGGGAGCAAACAGGAUUAGAUACCCGAGUAGUCCCUGUCUCUUAUAC
This 301-nucleotide ribosomal RNA is filed under the name uncultured bacterium. Its description in RNAcentral is "partial 16S ribosomal RNA". It matches the Rfam family "Bacterial small subunit ribosomal RNA", at positions 509 to 807 of the family's 1533-position model. The record is from RNAcentral.